Molecule: ribosomal RNA, 255 nt
Filed under: uncultured bacterium
Lineage: Bacteria
Description: partial 16S ribosomal RNA
Rfam family: Bacterial small subunit ribosomal RNA
Source: RNAcentral
UACAGGAGGUCCCGAGCGUUGUUCGGAUUCAUUGGGCGUAAAGGGUGCGUAGGUGGUUGGGUAAGUCUGAUGUGAAAUCUCCGGGCUCAACCCGGGAACUGCGUCCGAUACUGGAAGGCUUGAAUUCGGGAGAGGGAUGCAGAAUUCCAGGUGUAGCGGUGAAAUGCGUAGAUAUCUGGAGGAAUACCGGUGGCGAAGGCGGCAUCCUGGACCGACAUUGACGCUGAGGAGCGAAAGCCAGGGGAGCAAAGCGGG